GAUGAACGCUGGCGGCGUGCCUAAUACAUGCAAGUCGAACGCAUUGAGAGAAGUGCUUGCACUUUUCAAUUUGAGUGGCGAACGGGUGAGUAACACGUGGGCAACCUACCUGAUAGCGGGGGAUAACGAGUGGAAACAUUCGCUAAUACCGCAUAACAAUAGAGAAGGCAUCUUCUUUAUUUAAAAGGCGCUUUCAAGCGUCACUAUCAGAUGGGCCCGCGGUGCAUUAGUUAGUUGGUGGGGUGAAGGCCUACCAAGACGAUGAUGCAUAGCCGAGUUGAGAGACUGAUCGGCCACAUUUGGACUGAGACACGGCCCAAACUCCUACGGGAGGCUGCAGUAGGGAAUCUUCCACAAUGGACGAAAGUCUGAUGGAGCAACGCCGCGUGUGUGAUGAAGGCUUUCGGGUCGUAAAGCACUGUUGUAUGGGAAGAAAUGCUAGUCUAGGAAAUGAGCUUAGUUUGACGGUACCAUACCAGAAAGGGACGGCUAAAUACGUGCCAGCCGCCGCGGUAA
RNAcentral lists this ribosomal RNA (516 nucleotides) under uncultured bacterium. RNAcentral's name for it is "partial 16S ribosomal RNA". It matches the Rfam family "Bacterial small subunit ribosomal RNA", at positions 28 to 523 of the family's 1533-position model. The record is from RNAcentral.